This 104-nucleotide small nucleolar RNA is filed under the name Dasypus novemcinctus (nine-banded armadillo). RNAcentral describes it as "Small nucleolar RNA U13 (ENSDNOG00000047399.1)". It matches the Rfam family "Small nucleolar RNA U13". The record is from RNAcentral. Lineage: Eukaryota; Metazoa; Chordata; Mammalia; Cingulata; Dasypodidae.
AUCCUUUUGUGGCUCAUAAGCAUAAUGAAUGGGUAUUCAUGCAGUUGUGUGAGAUGUGCCUCCCUCACACCUUGUUACAAUGUCAGCACAUUACCCAUCUGACA